This 294-nucleotide ribosomal RNA is filed under the name Triticum aestivum (bread wheat). RNAcentral describes it as "partial small subunit ribosomal RNA". The record is from RNAcentral. Lineage: Eukaryota; Viridiplantae; Streptophyta; Magnoliopsida; Poales; Poaceae.
AUGCACUCCGAAACCUCCACCGAUGGGCUCAACCAGGUGCCUUUCUCUCUUGAGGACCCAGAUUACAAGGGUCUUGAGCUAGAUCUGAUAGUGUUGUGCGAGAAGCAUGGGAAGCCAUCAGAGAGGCCUGUUGCAUUUGAAGGAACAAUGCCUGGGAGAAGGAUUACAUUAAGUUAUUUUACAAUGUGCUCCUGUUGCUUAGCACAUGGCUAUGCAAAUUCAGUGUUGGUCAGUACCAACAUUAGCUACUGCCAUGAACUAACUGUUGAAGGUCAGAAUUGUGGGUUUGUUUAG